GGGCAAACCCUAAGCCAGGUGGGCCUAAGGCCCACCAGGGGUGAGCCACACCCCUCCUCCCCCCCCUUGGCCGCCGCACCAGCCCCCACCAAGGGCUGCUGCCCCCCCAGGAGAGGGAAAUCCUCAAGGGGGCGUAGCCCCUCCCUUCCCCUAUAUAUAGUGGGCACUUUUGGCCAUUGGAGAUCAGACUUUGGCCUCUCUCUCGGUGCAGCCCUGCCCUUCUUCCUCCUCCUCUGUGCCGGUGCUUGGUGAAGCCCUGCUGGGAGACCUCGUCUCUCCAUCGACACCACGCCGUCGUGUUGCUGGAGUUCUUCCCCAACCUCUCCCUCCUCCUUGCUGGAUCAAGGUGCGGGAGACGUCACCGGGCUACACGUGUGUUGAAUGCGGAGGUGUCGUAGUUCGACACUAGACCGGAAUCCCUGCGAGUACGACUCCAUCAACCGCGUUCUAGCAACGAUUCCGCUUAGCGAUCUUCAAAGGUAUGAAGAUGCUCUUACCCCUCUCUCGUUGCUGGUCUCUCCAUAGGAAGAUCUGAAUAUGCGUAGGAAAUUUUGAAUUUAUGCUACGUUACCCAACAAAAGGAUGAUGAGGAUUUUGAGCGAUUCGUUGAAAUGAUCAGACUUGUCUUUCUGCAGAUGCGUUUGACUGAUAUGCUCAAGAUGUCUCCGUAUGUUAAGUACAUGAAAGAUACUUUGACUAAUAAGAGGAGGAUACCUGAUCUUGAGAUCUUCGCCAUGCUUGCUAAUUACACCUUCAAGGGUGGAACUCCGAAGAAACUAGGUGAUCCCGGUGUGCCCACUAUACCUUGCUCCAUUAAAGGCAACUACGUUAGAACUGCGUUAUGCGAUCUUGGAGCCGGUGUUAGUGUUAUGCCUCUCUCUCUUUAUUGUAUACUUGAACUGGAUAAGUUGACACCCACUAAAAUCUCUCUGCAAAUGGCCGACAAAUCAACUCCUUUCCCUAUUGGCAUUUGCGAGCAUGUGCCUGUUGUGGUUGCUAAUACCACUAUCUUAACAGACUUUGUUAUCUUGGAUAUUCCCGAGGACGAUGCCAUGGCUGUCAUUCUCGGAAGACCCUUUUUAAACACUGCAGGGGCUGCUAUAGAUUGCAACAAAGGCAAUGUCACUUUCCAUGUCAAUGGUAAUGAGCAUACGGUGCACUUUCCGAAGAAACAAUAUCGAGUACAUUGCAUCAAUGCUAUCAAAAAAUGUUCAUCGAUUCUUAUUGCGAGCUUUGAAUGCCAUAUUCCUCGCAUUAAGAUGAAGUACGAUUUGCUUGUUGGGGAGAUACACAUCCCCAUUGAGGUGACCUAGUGACUAUUCGGAAAUUCUCCGUCUUCUUUUGCGAUUCGAGAAUGUUUUGUCGAGGGGAUUUGAUCAACCCCAUUGACGGAUUUCUUUCGAUGACCAUGAGAUGGAUGAAUCAAGGAGUCACAAACCUCUGUUCCAAGCUUUCACUUUAGGUUGCUUAGAAGAAAAAUGAUAGGUUUAGUUUAUUUUUCCCUGUUUUCUGUUUUAGCGUCCGGUAGAAAAGUACCCCGAAAAUCAAAGUUCUCCGAACGCUGUGAAAAUCAAGUAUGAUUUUUUCUGGAAUAUUUGAAAAAUACUCGAACAAAGAGUCUGUCUGGGGGCCACACCAGUGGGCCACAAGCCCUAGGGGCAUAGGCACCCCCUGGACGCGCCACCCAGGCUUUUGGGGACCACAUGCACCCCCUCCACUCAUUCUUGCUCCCAUCCAGUUCUCCUACCUCUAGAAAAAAUCGUUUCGCAGCUCAAACCCAUGUUCUUGCUCCUCCAGCUGGGAUUUUCGAUCUCUUUGCUCAAAUCACCGUUCUCCGAACUGUUUUGGGGAAAUUACUCCUUCGUAAGUGACUCCUCCAUUGGUCCAAUUAGUUUUUGCUCUAGUGCCUUAUACUCCGCGUAUUUUUGCUGCCUUGGUGACCAUGUUCUUGAGCUUUGCAUGCUGAUUCUAGCUGGUCCCAAGUAGUUUUGAUGCGUAAUAUGGUCUCUAGGCACUUGUUGGAGUAGUUGCUAUGAGUUUCGUUGAGCCUUAUUCACUUUUCCUUAGAAUCACUAAAAAUUUCAGAAAUUUUCAGAGAUAGAAAAGGGAAAAGAUGAGGAGGUUCUUAAGAGGCUCGUCAAGCCGUGACCCCAAGGAUGAUGGGAGUGAGAAGAAGCCCAAGUAUUUGGUCCCUCGAGUCGCAGAAGUUCGAGCGUGCGAGUGGCCAAGCGACGUGUUCUUACGUGCUGCUGGAAUUUAUGAGGACUUUUAUCACUUGGUGGAGAACGCAGGCCUUACUGCCUUCGUUGAAGAUAAGUGUCCGCAAUACCUCCGCCUCACUAGUAUCUUCGUACAAAGCUUUCACUUCUAUCCGAGGAAGAAUCCUCCUACGGUUGAGUUUAAACUUUAUGAUAUCCCCCAGCGCAUGUCACUCCAGGAUUUUUGCAAUGUUUGCAAAUUGCCUUACGUUGUGGAUAUUCAUGAACCUCGUCCACGGGACCUGGAAGCUUUCAUUGGUACUAUUGCUGUAGGAGAGGAGAGAGGAGUGUCUUGCGCUAGAGCUGCUAGCAUACAUUUUCCCGUGCUUCGAUACUUCUCACUAUUUGUGGAAAAUGUUUGAUUUGCCGUGGGAAAGCUGGGUCACUUAGUUCCCCAGAUCCUGCGGUCUUGCGCGAAGCCCUUUAUAACGAUAAAACUUAUAGCUUAGGCACUAUAGUAGCUCAAUGGUUGAACCUGAACCGUUCUAAGGGUGUUGUCUAUGGAGGUAUCUACGCUACUCGUCUUGCUAGACACUUUGAGAUACCUAUUAGACUGGUGGAGGAAGAAGAGAUUCUUCUUCCCGAGAGAUAUCUAGAUUAUGAUAGCAUGGUUCGCCAUGACUUUCUUGAUAGAGAUAUAGGUGGAAGGAUGAUUUAUAACCUGGUAUUUAGUUAGGGUACUCGUGAGACUAUUACUUUGUCUGCUCCUUCUUUGUUCAAUCUUCAUGCAGGCAGGUACACUAUUAUGCCCUCGGACAUCUAUGCAUAUUGGGGCUUAGCCCAACCACAGGUGCCCGUGCCCGAGCCGCCAGUCGAGUACCAGACGCCAGUUUAUCAGUGGGAGCCAGAGGAGCUCACACAGCAGUGGCAUCCUCAGUCCACACCGGAGUACCCAGGAGCUGGUUAUUUCCCUCCUUGGGAGUAUACCAAGUUAGGCCAAAAGCCUAAGCUUGGGGGAGUACGUGUUCUCACCGACUUUAAAUUCUUGCUUAUGCUUUCACUUUGCUAGCCAGUGUUCACACUUUGCCACUGUAUCAUCCAUGCUAGUUUAUUUUCUUUUUUCUCAUUUUCUUUUCGUGUGUCUGUCUAGUUUGAGAAAAAAAACAAAAAGAUUUCCUUUUUCUUCUUUUGCUUGUUGGGAGCUUUCCCGUGUAGAGAGUUUUCUUUUUCUUUGGGUCAAGGUAGAAGACAUUGGUUGCAAUGUUUAGUGGCUCUUGCAUGCAUACCUGUUUAGUUUUCAAAGAGCCAUAUUACUUUGUCUUCUCCUUUGUGUUUGCCUGCAGAUUCCAGCUUUAGUCCAACGCACGAGCACGCUUAUUAUUGUUCACUUCGUUCGGUCGUGCAAGUGAAAGGAAAUAAUGACGAUAUAUGAUGAAGUGACUGAGCCUGGAAAAGAUGGUAUGAACUCGAUCUAUUUUGCUUUUGUAAAGAUGACUAGCUCAUCAUGCCUGACUCAGCUUUGUUGUGAGAGAAACAUGUUUGCAAUGAAAACUUAGAGAUCAUAGUUGCUUAUGCCAUGCUUACUUGGCUAGGAUCUUAUAAUUGUUUGUCUUGGUUGCCAACAUGAAUGUUGAGAUGACUAUGAUGUAGUAUUAUAGGAUGAUAUCCUCCUUUGAAUGUUUCAAGUGGCUUGACUUGGCACAUGUUCACGCAUGUAGUUGAAACAAAAUCAACAUAGCCUCUAUGAUGUUCAUGUUCAUGGUGAUUUAUGUCCUACUCAUGCUUGCAUUCAAUGUUAGUUACUCUCAAUACAUUUUGAUGACUGUUGUCGCUCUCUAGUUGGUCGCUUCCCAGUCUUUUGCUAGCCUUCACUUGUACUAAGCGGGAAUACUGCUUGUGCAUCCACCUCCAUAAACCCAAAGUUGUGCCAUAUGAGUCCAUCAUACCUUACUAUGUGCGGUAUCUACCUGUCGUUCGAAGUAAAUUUGCAUGUGCCACUCUCUAAAUAUUCAAGAAAUAAUCUGUUUUGCAUGCGUGAACCGCUCAUGUGGUGACAGGGGGCUAUUGGUAUCUUCCAUGCUAGGCAUGUUAUCCUCGAUAUGUGUUUAUUCACUAUCAUUCACGAGAAAGGGGCCGGUAAUUGGAAUUCCCAGUUCCAUGCUCAAAUGUAAAAGAUAAUUACAAACAAAACUCCCCCAGGAUUGAUGUUGGUAUGGACGGUACCCGAGGAUUAGGCUAGCCGUGGAGUGUGAUUGAUUGGUGGUGGGGGAGUCAAAACUUUACUUUUCUGUUUGGGAACCGCCUAUAGCAUGUGUAGCAUGGAAGAUGUUGAGAACUCUUAGUCAUUGCGUUGACAAUGAAAGCAUGCCACCCAAAAUUAUUAUCUCUGUUUUCAAAGCUUGAGCUCUGGCACCUCUGCAAAUCAAUGCUUCCCUCUGCGAAGGGCCUGUCUAUUUAUGUUCAUGAGUCAUCCUCCUCUUACAAAAGCACCAAUUAGAGAGCACCUCUGUCAUUUUUAUGCUUUGCUUUUAACUGUGUUGAGUAUGACUAUGACUGGAUCUUCAUUGCCUUGAAUUACAAUGUUUAGUCAGCCCUUGGUCUUUGAAGGUGCUCUGCAUUUAUGUUUUGCGGUCUCAGAAAGAGCUAGCGAGAUACCAUCUAUUCGUACUGCUUCAUCUUGCUUUGAUUGAAGUGUUGACAUUUGAGGCUUAUUAUUAUUUGCUCGCUAGUUGAUUAUGCCAUUGAUAUGAGUUUACCGUGAGACCUAGAUGUCAUUUGCUUAUGUGGUUUGCUUGUGAUGUUGCUGAAAUUCUGGUUAUGAGUUAGACAUAGUUGCAACAACAAGAUCAAACAGAGUUCGUCAAAGUUUUUCUUUUGUCUCUCUCAGUUUGUCAACUGAGUUGCUUGAGGACAAGCAAGGCUUUAAGCUUGGGGGAGUUGAUACGUCUCCGUCGUAUCUACUUAUUCAAACUCUUUUGCCCUUGUUUUGGACUCUAAUUUGCAUGAUUUGAAUGGAACUAACACGGACUGACGCUGUUUUCAGCAGAAUUGCCAUGGUGUUGUUUUUGUGCAGAAGUAAAAGUUCUCGGAACAUCCAGAAAAUUUACGUAGAAUUUUUCCGGAAUAAAAAAAAUACCUGCGCAAAGGUCCACGUGAGGGGGCGUGCCAGUGGGCUACAAGCCCACAGGCUGCGGCCACCCCCUAUGGUCGCGUAGUGUAGGGUUGUGGGGACCACGUGGCACCACCGCCCCCAAACUCAGCUCUAUAUUUUCCAUUUCGCCUGGAAAAAAUAAAUCAGAAAUAAGGUUUCAUCGUGUUUUGCGAUACGAAGGCACCGCCACAUCCUGUUCUUCAUCUGGAGGGCAGAUGUGUAGUCCGUUUCGGGCUCCGGAGAGGGGAAAUCGUCGCCAUCGUCAUGAUCAACCUUUCUCCAUCAACAAUUCCGUGAUGCUCUUCAUCGUUCGUGAGUAAUCUCAUCGUAGGCUUGCUGGACGGUGAUGAGUUGGAUGAGAUCUAUCAUGUAAUCGAGUUAGUUCUUGACGGGGAUUGAUCCCUAGUAUCCACUAUGUUCUAGAUUGAUGUUGCUACUACUUUGCCAUGCUUAAUGCUUGUCACUAUGGCUGAGUGUCAUGAUUUCAGAUCUGAACCUAUUAUGUUGUCGCCAAUAUAUGUGUGUUUUAGAUCCUAUCUUGCAAGUUGUAGUCACCUACUAUGUGUUAUGACCCGGCAACCCCGGAGUGACAAUAGCCGGAACCACUCCCGGAGAUGACCAUAGUAUGAGGAGUUCAUGUAUUCACCAAGUGUUAAUGCGUUGGUCCGGUUCUUUAUUAAAAGGAGAACCUUAAUAUCCCGUAGUUUCCAUUAGGACCCCGCUGCCAUGGGAGGGAUGGACAAUAGAUGUCAUGCAAGUUCUUUUCCCUAAGCACGUAUGACUACAUACAGAAUACAUGCCUACAUUAGAUUGAUGAAUGGGAGCUAGUUACAUAUCUCUCCGUGUUAUAGCUGUUACAUGAUGAAUCACAUCCGUCACACUCAUCCAUCACCAAUCCACUGCCUACGAGUCUUUUACUACUGGUCCUGGCUACGUUACUUUGCCUAGGCUUGUCCCUUGCUACAAAAGGGAUUGGUCCACUUUGCUGUUGUUGUCACUACUGCUGUUACUUGUUGCUUUGCUGCUGCUGUCACUACUGCUGUUACUUGUUAUUUUGUUGCUGCUGCUACUACUGUUCCUUGCUACUCCACUGUUACUUGUUGCAAGACUUUUUUGGCGCUAACAUCUCGUCAACAAGGCUUUUUCUGGCGCCGUUGCCGGGGAUUGUCAAAGCUUUUUCUGGUGCCGUUGCUAUCAUACUUUCUUGCUACUGAUACUUUGCUUGCAGACACUAAUCUUUCAGGUGUGGUUGAAUUGACAACUCAACUGCUAAUACUUGAGAAUAUUCUUUAGCUUCCCCUUGUGAGAUAAUCAAUAAAUUUGGGUUGAAUACUCUACCCUCGAAAACUGAUGCGAUCCCAUACGCUUGUGGGACAUCAGAGACCUAGUGCUUCUGUACAACUCUCAUUUUAGAUUCUUUGUAGGUAAACUCCUCUCCAAAUGGGAAGGACCCUAUGUUGUCGAGGAGGUUUAUCGGUCUGGAGAGUGGUGAAAAAUUAAUGACUUCGAAGGUAAAAACCCGAGAGUCGUGAAUGGGCAAAGAAUCAAACAUUAUAUUUUAGGUGCACCCAUUAAUGAGGAGACCAAUAUCAUCCAAGUCAUAACACGGGAAGAUCACAUAAAGUAAGAGGCUGUUUGGUUUCCAGUCUAAGGUUGCCACGCCUAACCUUAGUCAUGCCACAAUACCUUAGGCAUGUGUUUGGUUCAUUGUCACACUUGUGGCUUGCCACACUUUUCUAGUUAUAUGGUCCACAUGUCAUACACUUAUUGUUUUGCCAAAUCUUGCCACACUUGUGGUGUCUAUUUUCUUAGCCACACUUUUUGUGGCAGCCACACUUUGCCUAAGGUUAGUUGUGGCAAAGUUAGUCAUGAACCAAACAGGCCCUAAGUCUUCCGGAAUGCUCCACACACCUGAAAAAGGGUAGGUAUGUGGUACGGUAAGUAAACCGACUCCAAAAAUUCCCAAAAAAUAAUUUAUGUCAGCUUUGGUAUUUUAGAAAAAUUACAACAAUAAAAAGGAGUCCAGGGGACCCACGAGGUAGGCACAUGCCAACAAGGUGCGCCCCCUGAUUUUUUGUGGGGCCCUCGUGCGCCUCCCGGUAUAUGACUUCUUACUGAACACGUAUUCUGGUCUAGAAAAAUUAUUAUAUAUACUCCCGGUUGUUUUGAAUAUCGCACCGCGAGAUUUUCUUCUGUUCUUGUUUCGGGUUGUUUUUCUGACAGAUCUAGAUCACCAUGACGACUCCAGGUUCCUCCAAGGACAAGUUCUUAGAGAAGGUCAUCAACCCGUACCUCCUGGAGGUGAUGAAACACCCUCAAGACAUUGACAUGCAUGAGGGGGUGCUUCACAUCCGUGACGUCCAAGAGCCAAAGAAGGAGGGAAGCGAGAAGGACAAGCUUGCAGAGGUGGAGCAGGAGAUCUUCAAGUGUCAGGGGAUGGUUGAACGUGGUUUGAGUGCUAACCACUCCAUGAUCAGAGACUUCAUCCAGGAGAACAAGCUGGACACUACGAAAGUGGGGAGGUUUUUUUUAAAAUAGAAGAGCGGGUCGAUCAGCUCCAAGGUCAAGUCUAUGAACUCGAAAGCCAAAACUGCGACUAUGAAUCUAGGUUUUAAAGGAUGAGCUUUGCUGCCGGUUUCAGGGCUCCCGAGACAAAAUUCUCUUAUUAUGAUGGGGAGUCUACACCUUGGAAGGCAUAAGAGGACACCCCAACUACACCACCACUGACACCCAAGAAGGACGCUUGAGUACAUGGUUAUGGGCAUCACCCUUGGCUUACAUAAUAAAGAUUAGUUGAGUAUGUAUGCUUUGCUCUCAUUACAUCCAACAUCAUAGCAAAGCAAUGAAAAACAUAUAUAGAGAAAUAUCAUAUGCUUAUCUUAUGAGGAGUAAUGACUUUGCAUAGUAAAAAGUAUAAGUGAUGAAGGUUCUUGAAAAUAAACAAGCAUAGUAUUAAUCAUGUUACAAUCUAAGCAAGACUAGAAAGAGGAGAGGAGAUUCUCAUAUAAAUACACAAUCUUGGACAUCUUUUAUGAUUGUGAUCCCUCAUCAAAUAUUAUAUAUUGAUCAAGUGUUGACGUAGGACAUGUAAGACAACAUAAUGGUGAUGGUACUUUACAUUCAUAUAGAAUUUAUAUGGUCGUGGAUCCUUUAACAUGUGGUGCUUGCUUUAGAUCUUUUGCUAGCCCAAAAACUUUGCACUAAGUAGAAAUACUACUUGUGCAUCCAUAACCCUGAAACCCAGUUUCUUGCCAUGAGAGUCCACUAUACCUACCCAUGGAUUGAGUAAGAUCCUUCAAGUAAGUUGUCAUCGAGGCACCAAGCAAUAUAAAGUUGCUCCUAAAUAUGUAUGAUCUUUUAUUACGAGGGAAAAUAAACUUUGUACGAUCUUGUGAUGGCAAAUAAAUAAAAACGACAAGCUGCAUAAUAAACUUUGCUAUCACAAGGGGCAAUAUAAAGUGAUGUUCCUUUGCAUUAAGAGUUUGCACACCUCUGCUUCCCUCUACGAAGGGCCUAUCUUUUAUCUUUGAAAGUUCACACUUGUGUGUGAGUCACUAAAUUCCUUCAUCUUUCUACUUAUUAAUUCUAUAGUGGCAAGCAUCAUGUGUUGAGGAAAGAUUCAGAUUUAUAUAUCCAAGUGAAUGUAGAUUAUCAUGAUUAUUAUUGUUGACAUUCUCCUUGAGGUAAAUGGGUUGGGCCGCAAAUCAUUUAAGCCCCUAUCUUCCUAUGUGUCCUGUGAAAACAUGAGCUCCAAAAAUAUGACUCGAGUGUGAGGAAUCAUAGAAGAAUAAAUGAUAAUUGAGUAUGUGAACUUGCUAAUAAGAAAGCUCUUACAUAAAAUCUCCUCUCAAAUAUGUUCAGUUAUGAUUGGCCCAUUGACUGAGAAGAUAGUUUGUUGUUUGUCAGCAAAUAUUUAUGCUUGAUACUCCAAUAUUUGUGAAUGGAUUGUUAAUUAUUUAUGAGAAGAUAUAUGAUAAAAUAUUUGCUGCUCUGCUAAUAUUCAUGAUGCUCUCAUGCCUGUAUUUUUAUUUUAUCGACUUCUCCCUCUCAAAUCAUGUGGCCAUUAUUCUUGAGCUCGGCUUUGGCUUGAGGACAAGCGAGGUCUAAGCUUGGGGGAGUUGAUACAUCCAUUUUUCAUCAUGAAUCUUUAUUGAUAUUUUUCUUAUUAUUGUCCAUUAUUCCCUAUCAUUAUGUAAUUCUUAUGCCUUUUCUCUCUAAAUAUGCAAGGUACGUCACAAAGAGGGAAAUAUCUGAAAAUAGGAAUUCUCGACCGAGAAACCGAGAAAAAGGCAGAAAAAUCAAGUUGCUCCAAAUGACCUGAAACUUCAUGCAAAAUCAAGUUGCUCCAGCACCAUAUCAUCUCCAAUCGUAGUUCAUCUCAUGUAUUCAAUCUUUGCCGCAAAACCUCAAAUUGGUAUUUGUGGGUUGCUAGUUAUGUUCAAUACAUCUUUUAGUUGAUGGUAGUUGGAUUACUUGGUGGAAGACAUUAUGUUGAGAUCCUUGAUCAUUAUUAUUAUACUUCUGGUGUUGAACAUGUUGAUAAGGUGUGGGUAGUUACUAUUUCUCCUAAGGACAUGGGAGAAGUCUUGUUAUAAGUAAUCAUAUAAAGUUGGUAUUCGUUCAAUAUUUUGAUGAUAUAUAUGUUGUUACUUCCUUUAGUGGUGUCAUGUGAACAUUGAUUACAUGUCACUUCACCAUGUUAUGGGCCUAAAAAAAGUCAUUGUCGAGUAACAAAUAGAUGAUGGGUUGUGAGAAUGACGGAUGCUUAAACCACAGUUUAUGCGUUGCUUCAUGAGGGGUGAUUUGGAUCCACAUGUUUCAUGCUAUGGUUAGAUUUAUCUUAAUUCUUCUUUCAUAGUUGAGGAUGCAUGCGAGAGGGGUUAAUCAUAAGUAGGUUGUUAGUUCAAGUAAGAACAACACAUUAGCGUCGGUCCACCAACAUAUCAAAUUAUCAAAGUAACAAACACGAACCAACUCAAUAUGAUGAACAUGACUAGACAAAUAUUCCCAUGUGACCUCGGGAGCACUUGCUUUAUAUAAGAGUACUUUCAGGCAUGUUCUUUGCUAUAAAAAGGAUUGGGCUAUCUUGCUGCACCUUUGUUACUAUUUCUACUUGUCACCGGUUACAAAUUGUCUUGCUACAAAACUAUCUAUCACUGCUAUUCACAGCACUUGCGGAGAAUACCUUGUUGAAUACUACUUAUCAUUUCCUUCCGCUCCACGCUGGGUUCGACACUCUUACUUAUUGAAAGGGCUACGAUUGAUCCCCUAUACUUCUCCAUAGAAUCUUAUAUAUGAUGAUCAACUUGCUUCUUCCCAUACAUAUAUAAUGAUCCAUUUGCUCCAGGAUCCAUUUGCUUCUUCCCCUGUUUUUUUAACUCCUAUAGAAUGAUCAAUCACGGUAUGCAUGAGUAUACAUUAUUCUUCCCAUACUAUUUUGUUAGUUCAACUAAAAGAGACACGACAAUCUUAUAUAUGAAUGGCAUACAUUCCUAGCAUAGCAUUGUAACUAAAACAUUGAAGUCGUGCAUUUUUUGAUAAUGCAUCGUUUGCAUACUACUUCUAUAACCGGGAUGGAAAUUACCAUGAAGUAUUGGUGGCAAUUUGCACUAUAAUUACAUGGCAAAGUUGCACUAUAAUUACAUGGCAAAGUUGCAGUGUCGGUGCAUUUAGCGGCAACUACUUCUAUAACCGGGUGGCCACUACCAGCAAAGUUGGGCGGCAUCCCCCCUCCCUAAUCCCUUGAUGAAAAAAAUAUCCGCUUUGUCUUGCCCCUCCCCCAUACCCACCUGACAAGUUAUUGGACGUACGGGCCGCGGGGUGGUAUACCCAAACCUACGGGAGGUGGGGUGGGACGCAGAACGUAGGCUGUUUUGCGUAAAUGGCACACGAGACGUGCGGCAAUCCAUCCUUAGAGUCCAUACAUGUGGUAAAUACCACGACCUUAAAUUUAAUCAACAUGGACUACUACAACAGAAGCAAAAAAUAUACCAUAGAACUAGUAUUCGAAAGAAGGUUUUUAAUGAUAUAGUUUUAGAGUUUUUAAUGGUAUAAUUUUUUGCUUCCGUCGCAGUUAGUCAUAUUUGCUGAAUUUAUGGUACAUAAAUCUUAAAAAAUAUAAUGCAUUACAUUAUGAAACAAAAGGAGUACUUUUCAUGAUGAUUUGACACCACAUACGUGUAUGAAAGAUUGUAAAUAUGACACCGAUGCCAAGCAUGAUUUACGUCGCCAAUUUGGCAUUUGGCACGCCGUGAAUGCCCUUUUCAGCAGAUGAAUCGAAGGUCUUAAAUGGAGUGCAGAGUACUUGUCAGAAACUGACAAGAUGGAACGAAACAUAUCAGUCAGGACUUUUCCCCACCACCGGUGGGAUAUAACAAAGGUCCUAAAAUCAGCGCACAAUAUUGAAAGGCGAAAAAACGUGAUCUUGCUAACUAUCGGUUCUUUAUCUGCAUUGUACUCUCUCCAUUCCAUAAUAUAAUAAUACAAAAAUUUCUAUGACACUAGUUUCGUGUAGAAAAUGCCUUUGUAUUAUAUGAACGGAAAGGAGUAACUUCUACUAUGUGCCUUUCCACAGGUCUCCCAUCCCUGAACGGGCAAGGAAAAGAUCUAUCGAAGAAACGCGACCGAGUAUCCGUUCGCUUCCCCAAAUACGUUUUUAGGCGAAAAAUAGCGCCUCUUGGGGCAGUCGGUGCUAUUUUCGAUGUACAGGAACUCCGGCUUCCAACGUCUCCAGUUGCCCCUUCCUCCUUCAACCGUCGAGUUCGAACUCUGAUUCGACACAUAGUUCAUAUCAAUACAAAUCAAAUAGUUUAAUGAAGCAAGUUCAUAAUUCAAACACAAUUAAAAUACAUCAAACUUGGCAUUGCCUUUGAGACCUCCAUAGGUGUUUCAUCAGAUCGUGUUGCAAUUUUUGUUGUACCUGUAGGUCUCGGAUCUCUUGACGCACAUUAAGGAAGACAACCCAUAAUUUCAGUACCUGAUGAUCAACAGCUGCAAGAGAACAGACAAAUCACCAAACAUCUAGCGGGCGUGGUGGACGGGUAGCCGCCGGUAUCCUCGCUUGCGUGGUCGGACCUUUGGAAAGCUCGGCGAGUAGCGGGGAUGGAGGCCGUCACGACGAAACUCACUCUUUGCGGUAUGGGAAUGGCCUUUCUAGCUGUGAGACAGCGACCGUGGGCAGGGGAAUGGUGCCGGUAUCAAUAUGACGAUGAAAGGGGAAGUGAUGUUCUACCGCGCGUGGAUCGUAUCUGAAUGGGAAAAGGCAUUUCUUGCGGCCACUUUUCCUUCCAUCGGAGCUUCAAGUGCCCCAACGCUUUGGAUUCGGGCUGAAAUCGCUGGACCGAAAAAUGACCUACGGAAUUUGAGGAUAUUUUUUGCGUCGGCGGAAAAGAAGUCCUCUUGAUGGGUCUGUUGUGGUGCGGGUGGAGAUGCUCUCACCUCGAUCAGCAAUGCUACACAUACAUAAGUUUACAUACUCCCUCCUUUCUGGUUUACAGGGCUCAUCUCAAAAUUUUCAGAUUUCCAUUAUAUUAGGCUCAUUUUAAGUCUAAUAGAGUUAAAGUGCUUUGAGUCCCAUGCCAUAUUUAAUUCAUAGAGUUUGAAGAAAAGAGAUGAGUGGCUAUGUAUGCAUCAUUUUCUACAUCCAUCAUGAAAGUCCAAUGAGAAGGAGAAUGUUACAUUUAUUGCCUUGAAAAUUGAAUAUGUGAGUAAAUAUUUCAUUGGCUAGUUAAAGCUAGUGUCAUCCACUUACAAUUCACCUUGGUUGAUGAGAUUUUAGAUUUGAACCCUAUAAACCGGAAAGGAGGGAGUAGGUUUUACAAAGAAGUGGAUUUUAAUUAAAGAUUAAGGGGAAUGAGGGCUCCACCCUCCCUUGAAAAUCAAAAAAAGUGAUUAGUUAGAAAGAAAAAAUCGUAAUCAACGUGUAAUUUAAGUAACUCUUUGUAUGUCUAACAUUUUUGUGAUCUCGACUUCUCGACUGUGAUAAGACCACCCGUCGGCACGGAUUCACGGACAAUAAAACCAUCCGCCCCAUUCCAAUUCAUCGACAUUGACAUGCCGCCAUACCUGCAUGCAUCAUUGCAUCUCUCCCUCCGCCCGUGACCUGAGAAGGACGGGCCGCAUGUCGCACCUCUACCUAUUCUAUCCUCCUCUCCUGCGCGGACGACGCACCGCCACCCCGUGCAACUCGCCUAUAAGAAGCGGCGUACACAAUGCUAAGCCUAAGCUCACUCCAACAGAGCCACACACGACACAAUCUCCUUAGCAUUACCAGAGCCUCCCAGUUAGCAAUGGCAAAGUGUCUCGCCGUCGCGCUCCUGCUAGUGGUGCUGCUCGCGUCCUGCGACGGGAGGGAGCUGAACGAGAAGGCUGCAGCGACACGCGGUGCCGGUGUCGGCGGCGGCGUCGGCGAGUCCAAGGCUAUGGGGUUGCCGGACUUGCCAGCUGUGACGCUCCCCACGACCCCGACGCUCCCCACGGCACCGACGCUCCCCACACUCCCGACGCUCCCUACGGUCCCGACUCUCCCGCUACUGGGAACCAUUACGGGUACCAGUACCAUUACCGGCCCGGUGGUGGUGCUUCCGGCGGUCCCUGCUCACCCAUGAUUAUCUCUACUUGUACGGUGUACGUGCCUAGAUCAUAGCACCGUUCGCAGGGAAAGACACCGGCGUUGCGUUCAUGUCCAAGGCCCUUCAUUGAUGGGAGUCUGUAUUUAUCUUCAGUUAAAGUUCUUGUAUUGUUCGUUCGUUGAUGUGUUUUUACAUGUAUCAUGGACAUCAUAAAUACUACCGGUACUUUGUCAGCGUGAUCACCUUGUUGGAUAGACGUACGAACAAGUCGCAGCAUCAACGUCCCACUUCGUCACUCUAAUAACAAAGCCCCAAGUCCAGAGUUGUUCAUUUAAAAGAACUACUUCCUCCGAUCUAAAUUAAUCGACGCAACCUCUAUGCAAGCAAGUUAGUUGUCGCAGGGUUUCAUGGCUUGCUUUCUACAUGCGUUUUGCAUGAUUGUGUUUUGUUCUUGACUGGGGGACUAUUUUGAGUAAUGAUAUGUAUCCACGAACUUUACGAGCGUUUUAUGGGGUGAGUUUAAGCUCGCAAGUUGUGUUUCG
RNAcentral lists this long non-coding RNA (14461 nucleotides) under Hordeum vulgare. Its description in RNAcentral is "long non-coding RNA (HVUL_LNC005594)". Lineage: Eukaryota; Viridiplantae; Streptophyta; Magnoliopsida; Poales; Poaceae. The record is from RNAcentral.